Molecule: long non-coding RNA, 3919 nt
Organism: Capsicum annuum
Lineage: Eukaryota; Viridiplantae; Streptophyta; Magnoliopsida; Solanales; Solanaceae
Exons: 3
Source: RefSeq, a predicted model, not a curated record
AUUAAAUGCCCUGUUUUAUGCAUAUCAGCACUUUCUUUUAACCAUGUGCAGAGAAAAGUUAGCACAUACUUUAGCUUGUGAUUCUUUCAAUGCCAUAGUUGUCUUUUCACUCCCUUGUCUGAAGCUCAUAUGAUUUUCUUGAUCUUUUUGACCACUGAUGAUCCUUUUCUCUUUCCAGGUUGCAGGUUUUGUAGAGUAAGGGAACACUUACAGAAUCUAUGUUAGUCUUCAUGGUAGAGGACACAGACUUUUUAAACAGAAUACUGAUGACAUUAAUUGUUUAAUGUCAAGUCUCAAGUGUAUUCUCUCAUUCAUUUUGCAGCCUUAUGAUCACAGUUAGAAUGACCAGGGUUCUUCCCCUGCAGCAUAUGUUUUUGUUUCGCAAGAUAAUCCCUUGGGGCACGCUUAUUCUGUUCCAAAUAUUACUACCGUUCAUUUUAUUACUGAUUCAUUUUUAUAUAUGUGUUCAUCUUUUCUUGAUUUACUCUCUUAAAUCCCUUAGUGCAGACUUAUUCUAUUCCAUUAUUUGCUUUUGAUGUAUUCCAUGAAGUAUUUUUAUCAAGGACUGCCUUAUAUAGAUCUUGAGAGGAGGACUCCUCAAUUUUGUUUCAGAUGGAUAUAGAAUUUACAAUUAAUCAGAUUCAACAUUAAGUUAUAAAAGUACUACCGCCUUUUGUUGGGUCGAGCUUUAAUUUUUAUUUUAAAUUUGGAACAUUAAAUUUUGUAACUUCUCUGUGGAAACAUACAUACUAUAGAUAGUAUUAAAAUUAUAUCAUGGCGUUUUAUAAGAGCAACUUAAAAAAUACAGUAGAGUUUUAAAAAUGAGCUUUAAAAUGCUCAUCACACAAUCCACUACUCGUUCUACCCAUUCAACUGUUCAGGCUUCAUCACCAGUUAUUCAAUCGGAUUCUAAUACAAGUGUACUUCAUAUUCCUUGAGAAACAUUUGAAGGGGUAGAGGAGAAGGUAAGUUAUAGCUGUCGCUUUUCGCUAUUCUUGCAGUGUGGGGUUCCUUGAUUGGAUAUUUUCUUUGUAUUGGCAAGGUAGAUCAAAGAUGGGCUGAGCACAUAGUUUAUGAUCCCUUGAAACUGAAACUGCACUUGCAUUUGAAAAGAACUGUGGAAUUCUUCCUCCAAACAAGUUAUUGCUGAUACCCAAGUGCUCUAAUCUGACACAAGUUUGGAGGGUACUUGGAAUUUCACCUGUUAAUUUGUUAUGUGACAAAUACAACUCCUUGAGAUUUUUCAACCUUCCCACUUCUAAUGGGAAAGGACCACCCAACAUAUUACGCGUCAAGUGUAAAGAAACUGAAAGAGAAGAUGGACAUGCAACCUCUUGUGGUAUGUAGCCAACAAGAUUGUUUCCAGUAAGGUUUAGCACUUCUAGACUGGUCUUUUUCCAAGAUCUGCAGGUGUGUUUCCUUCUAGUCUAUUGUUUUCCAUGGAUAAAGUUGUCAGCAAUUGUCGAGUUACUAUAAGAGGACGGGACCCUCCCUGAAAACUUAUUUCCAUCCAACUCCAGUUCUUGGAGGUGUUGAAGCUUGUCUAAAGACUCGGGAACGCUGCCCCUGAAGUUGUUAUUAUCGAGUGAUAAUCUGGUCAAAUUUUCAAGGUUCCCCAGUCCAUCAGGAACAGUGCCAUGUAUAAUAUUAAAACCUAGAUCAAGCAUUAAGUUUCUCUGAAAAGUUUGGAAUUGAAUUCGGAAGUUCUCCUCCAAGGGAGUUGUCUAGCAAACUCAAAACCUCCAAACUCGGAAGUUUAUUGGGAAAUCAAAAAACUUUCAGAUCCAUAUUUCCAUAUUCUGCAGGUGUAGUGAACUCAAAGUUGAGUUUAUACAAUUGUUGGAAUUUUCCUACACCUGCUUGAAUAGUUCCAGUGAGUCCACUUCCAGAAAGAUCAAGAAGAGUGAACCUGGAAGCAUUUGAUAAUGAAACAGGAAUUGGUCCUGUGAACUUGUUCAGACCACCAGCAAGUACCUCAAGCUCUGGAAAGUUUAGGCCUAUAUCUGGUGGAAAUUCUCCGUAAAGCAUUUUCUCACAACAGAGAAAAAGCCAACGGAGGAGAUAUUGUAGAUAGAUUGAGGAAUUUUACUAGUCAACUGAUUUUGAAGAAAUUUGGAAAAUUUCAAAGUUCGGCAGUAGGCCAAGAUCCAAAGGUAUCAAGCGAACUCAAAAGACCUUAAAGCGACGAAAAAUUUCCUAUCCAAGGUGGAAGUCCUCCUGUGGGAUUUGUUUAUUCCAAGCCCCAAGUAAAUCAACUUUGAUAGUGAACUGAGCUGAUCAGGUAUUAUCCCAACAAAACCAUUAGACUCUAGAGAAAGUAUUCUAAGUUCUGUACAGUAAGUCAGAUUAGUAGGAACUGCCCAGUGAGAUUGAGAUGUUGCAGGUGCAGAGCAGCAAGUUCCCAAUUUCUUAGGGAAUUUUAUCAUAUCAGCUAUUGUUUCGAAGAUUAAUGCUCGUGAGGAAUGUAAGGUUCUCGAUGGAAGGCAGUAUGGAGCCACUGAGAUUUUUUGGUCUCAAGUCAAGAAUCACGACUCUUUCGUUGGAGGAACGGCAUGUUAUACCUGUACAGUUGCAGUCAUGAAUGAGAAUUGUUCCAAGAAGCUAUGGCUUGGAAUGGAUCCUCACUAAUUUUACUUUUGAAGUCUAGUAAAGCCAGCUUAUCAGCUUCAUUUUCGAUAAAUUUCAACCCUGAGAUUUCCUGGGACAUAACAAGAAUUGAAUACUGGAAAUAUGAGACUCCAUUUGUUAUGCAGGCAAGGCUGCACCAUCUCUCCUGAAGUACACAAACUGUUAAGCAAAUCUGCUGCACGCUUGUUCCUUUGAGUGAAUCUCUGUAAAAGCAGUAAAUGACAAAAAAAGAAAGUUCUAUGAUCUGCUUUUUGUAUAUACAUGAAUAUGAAGAACCUUUCUGGUACACAAGUUAUUGAGAACGAGACAUCAACUUCAGUUUGAUACUUUCAGUAGUUCAGCCAAAACGUUUCCAAGUAUUUAUCCCAUUUAUGAGAUCUGUUCUGCCUAGCACACAAUUUGCUGUUUUUAAACCUUGGUGAGGGUUGAAGAUGACAAAAAAUGUCUUUAAACUGAAGAGUUCAUCAGAGGAUCUCUCUGAGACAUAUAGCAUAAAUUAUCUCCAUAGCAUGAUUGUGGUUAGUGGAUAACUGUUUCUCACUUUUACAAGCUUGUUUGGGUCUAUAUCCGUAAAGACAACUUGACUACCUACUGGCCUUUGCAAGUUUGUUCUUUACCAAAAAUAGAUCUAAACAGGAUUUCUGUCGUCAAGUCAUAAGCAGAUAAAUACUUGCUUUUCGUAUCAUCUAAUUUUCCCUUUUCUUCUUUUAUGUUUGGAUCUCUGCAUUCAGUAACAAGAGUCAAGUUUUCAACAAGGAGAAUCAAAAUAUAAAAUAUAUAUACGUAGUGUCAAGGGAAUUUGAUACAUAGUAUGUACAUACACAAUCUUUUUUUACCUGCAUACUCAACAUAAUUUUUUUACAAUGGGGCAUCAAUUGACUCCUCUUGGACGAGGAUAGUUCUGCUCCGGUUUGCACUUAAAUUUUGGACCAUGGAAUCCAUCAGAAUUUUGAGUCAUUUGACAUUAUAUUGAUAAAUGACUACAUUUUCUUAAUGGUUAUUUAAACAAUGUAAUGGCAAUCAACCUUAGAUCACCCAAAGUGGAUUCAAUUUGUUAUUUUUCUUCAUUUUGAAUACUACAACCUUAGUAGUAGUAGUAGUAGCGUUUUAGGAAGAUUAUUGCGGCUAUUGUAUAUUAGCAACAAUAUACAAAAGAACUUGGACAAACUUUAAAACGUUUGUAGCUGAAAAAUUAUAAAUUGAGGAUUAGGAUGAAGAAAAUCGACCACAAAUUGCAUCAAAUUGUAAAUUGAAUCAAAUCAAAAAAAUUCGACUAGUAAUUUGAUUUGAC